This is a non-coding RNA of Cordylochernes scorpioides, 66 nucleotides long. Lineage: Eukaryota; Metazoa; Arthropoda; Arachnida; Pseudoscorpiones; Chernetidae. The record is from the annotation of a GenBank genome assembly.
UGCAUCGGUCGGGAAUCGAACCCGACCGCGUGGCAGGCGAGCAUUCUACCAUUGAACCACCGAUGC